UGUGGUGUAGCUCAGUUGGUAGAGCGCCGGAUUGUUAAUCCGGUGGUCGGAGGUUCGAGUCCUCCCGCCACAGCCA
This 76-nucleotide transfer RNA is filed under the name Acidobacteriota bacterium. RNAcentral describes it as "Acidobacteria bacterium (rhizosphere metagenome) tRNA-Asn". It matches the Rfam family "tRNA". From Rfam's summary of the family: Transfer RNA (tRNA) molecules are approximately 80 nucleotides in length. Their secondary structure includes four short double-helical elements and three loops (D, anti-codon, and T loops). RNAcentral also lists the same sequence under 2 other names. The record is from RNAcentral. Lineage: Bacteria; Pseudomonadati; Acidobacteriota.